AGCGCAGUCGCCAAGUGGUUUAAGGCUCCUCCCUCAUAAGGAGGUGAUCGCUGGUUCAAAUCCAGCCUGCGCUACCA
RNAcentral lists this transfer RNA (77 nucleotides) under Candidatus Chloroheliaceae bacterium. RNAcentral's name for it is "tRNA-Ile". It matches the Rfam family "tRNA". From Rfam's summary of the family: Transfer RNA (tRNA) molecules are approximately 80 nucleotides in length. Their secondary structure includes four short double-helical elements and three loops (D, anti-codon, and T loops). The record is from RNAcentral. Lineage: Bacteria; Bacillati; Chloroflexota; Chloroflexia; Candidatus Chloroheliales; Candidatus Chloroheliaceae.